CCUACGGGAGGCAGCAGUGGGGAAUAUUGCGCAAUGGGCGAAAGCCUGACGCAGCGACGCCGCGUGAGGGAUGAAGGUCUUCGGAUCGUAAACCUCUGUUAGCAGGGAAGAACGGUCACUGUGCUAAUCAGCAGUGAAUUGACGGUACCUGCAAAGGACGCACCGGCUAACUCCGUGCCAGCAGCCGCGGUAAUACGGAGGGUGCGAGCGUUAAUCGGAAUUACUGGGCGUAAAGCGCUCGUAGGCGGUAUGUCAAGUCAAGUGUGAAAGCCCCGCGCUCAACGUGGGAACUGCCUUUGAAACUGGCAGACUGGAGUGUGGGAGAGGAUAGUGGAAGUCCAGGUGUAGGAGUGAAAUGCGUAGAUAUCUGGAGGAACAUCAGUGGCGAAGGCGACUAUCUGGCCCAUAACUGACGCUGAGGAGCGAAAGCGUGGGUAGCAAACAGGAUUAGAUACCCUUGUAGUC
Molecule: ribosomal RNA, 465 nt
Filed under: uncultured bacterium
Lineage: Bacteria
Description: partial 16S ribosomal RNA
Rfam family: Bacterial small subunit ribosomal RNA
Source: RNAcentral